This 254-nucleotide ribosomal RNA is filed under the name uncultured bacterium. Its description in RNAcentral is "partial 16S ribosomal RNA". It matches the Rfam family "Bacterial small subunit ribosomal RNA", at positions 524 to 776 of the family's 1533-position model. The record is from RNAcentral.
UACGUAGGGGGCGAGCGUUGUCCGGAUUUAUUGGGCGUAAAGAGCUCGUAGGCGGUUUGUCGCGUCUGCUGUGAAAACUGGAGGCUCAACCUCCAGCCUGCAGUGGGUACGGGCAGACUAGAGUGCGGUAGGGGAGAUUGGAAUUCCUGGUGUAGCGGUGGAAUGCGCAGAUAUCGAGGAGGAACACCGGUGGCGAAGGCAGGUCUCUGGGCCGAUACUGACGCUGAGGAGCGAAAGCGUGGGGAGCGAACAGG